This 2697-nucleotide long non-coding RNA is filed under the name Homo sapiens (human). Its description in RNAcentral is "HSALNT0254296". Lineage: Eukaryota; Metazoa; Chordata; Mammalia; Primates; Hominidae. The record is from RNAcentral.
UCCCCCUCCUCCUCUCCCUCUUCCCCCCUCCUCCCAUUCCUAGUCUCCCUCCUGGCUCCUCCCUUUCCUUCCUUCUACUCCCCCUUCUCCUUCCAGCCCUCCCCUCCUCCCUUCCAGCCUCCUCUCCCUCCCCCAUCCACUCUUCCUUCUUCCUUCUCCCUGCUCCCCUCUCCUCUGCUUCCUCCGUUUCUCCUUCCCCCUCCUCCCCUCCCCUCGGUGCUAACAGCUGUAAUUGCUGUUUCUCCCACCUCCCUAACAAGCACGGGACCCUCCGAGCAGAGCCGCCCGCAGUUCCGCUCAGUAAUCGCCUCCAUGGUAAAUCCCCACAAUUGGGCUGGGCAGGAGCCGUUGGCUUCGCGCUCUCCCUCCUGCUCGCUUUAAGCAAAACCAAACAAAACGUUUCUGUUAUUACUGAACUCCCUGGGCGCCAGGAGGUGAGAGGGUGGCAUUUCCCAAGGAUGGAAUUGGAGGGGGAGCCUCCUCCAGCCCCUCAUCACCUCACCUCUGCCUGGAGGCAGAUCCAAGGCUCUUACCCCCCAGAGAGGGCGCCUCUCAUUCCCUGGAGAAAAACCAAAGAACCACCCGCCCCCAGCUCUCAGAGGGGAAUAGAAGAUGGAGGAGUUUGGUCAAGGACUUUCAACUUCAGGAAGGAGCUCAACGCAGCCAGCACCUUGAUCGGCACCGUGGGAGAAGGUGGAAAGAGGACCCAGUCAAGCCACUCCUGAGCCACGGAAGCCGGGAGACAGUGCCUGCGUGUUGCUGUAAGCUGCCACAGGAAACCAGGAAACUUAUCAAGCACCCGCUUUCCAGAUGGGGAAAUCAAGGACCGGAGUUUCAAGGGAAUUCUCCUAGAGAACCCAGAGGGGUUCUCAUCACCGUCCGUAAUGCCAUAUUUUCUCCUGGAAGUUUUUGGCUUUGUACCUAUUCUUCUCUCUCCUGGACUAUGAACUUUGAGGAGGCAGGGGCCCGAUCUGUCCCGGCCGGUGGCCCCAGCAUCCAGCACAGAGCCUGGGGCACAGCAGGUGCAUGGUGACUGGGGGCUGGGUGAGUGAGUGAGUGAAUGAAUGAAUGCAUGAAUGAAGGAGUGAAUGCACAGAGGCCCCUGCCUUCCUGCCUCCCCGUCGCCAUGAGAGAAAGGAAGCAAAAUUUCAAACAACUCAAAGAUGUAUCAGCCUGGAGCCGCGGGAAACACCAGCUCCCCUGGCAGGGUGCAUCGACCCACGGUGGGGCGGGCAGGCGUCCGGCUUUGUGCAGGCGGAGGUAGGAGGGCUCGAGAUGGGGAGGGGGGCUGCACCAACCCGCUCGGUGGCGAUCAAAACGCGCCCCCACUCCCUGCCUGGGCUUCAGCGGCCAAGUGCAUGGGGUCUGCCGAUGGAGGCUGCGGGGGCUGGAGGGGGGCGAACAGCUUCUGCAGCGGCCAGGACAGAAAAGCUCUCUCUCCCGACACACAAAAGCAGGAAGGCCACAUUAAGCCCAUUAUCAAUAUUUUGCCUGGAAAAAAUACAAAAAGCAUUUUCUUCUCUGAAAAAUUAAUAACCUCGAAAGGUGGGGAGGCUGGGUUUGAUGUCUGGUGAGUGGAGGGGGGGGUUGGUGAGGCUUUGCUUUCUGCCUCCCUCGCCGCUCGCCCCGUGGGUGCCUGGGUCCCUCUGGGCAGGCCCGGCUCCUCCAGCCCACCUCCAACUGCCACCACCUGCUCCUAGUCCUGGCUGAGGCCCCAGCAAACCUUGGGCUGUGAGCCGGGCUCACCAGCCUGGCUCCAAGCCUGGGUCUUCCAGAUCCACCAUUACAGUCCCCUCUGAGGAGGUGGCAUCCCCCAACCUGAGCCCAGGUGUCAGCCCCUCUCGACUCUGUCCACAUGGGCCAUGUUCUCCUAGCUCUUGCUAAGAAACUCCUACUCUACCUGCAGAACCCAGCUUCAAUGCCCACUCUACCGCAGGGCCUUUACUUCCUCUUCCCCUAGACUCAGGUCUCUCCCUCUGGCCCAGUUCUGGGUCCCUUGUCUUCCCUGACCCUGGGGGGGCUUCCUGGGGGCUCUGGCUCUCUUCCAGGACCUCAGCAACACCCUGCACAGUGCACCAUUAUAAUUUGGAGAAUGGAUGGGGCUCCUUUUUUUUAUUUUUUUGAGACGAAGUUUCACUCUUGUUGCCCAGGCUGGAGUGCAAUGGCACGAUCUCAGCUCACCACAACCUCUGCCUCCCGGGUUCAAGCGAUUCUCCUGCCUCAGCCUCCAGAGUAGCUGGGAUUACAAGCGCCUGCGACCACGCCCAGCUAAUUUUUUGUAUUUUUAGUAGAGACGGGGUUUGUCCAUGCUUGCCAGGCUAGUUUCGAACUCCUGACCUCAGGUGAUCCGCCUGCCUUGGACUCCCAAAGUGCUGGAAUUACAGGCGUGAGCUGCCGCGCCUGACUGGGGCUCCUUUUGGUGGGUGGAAGUCUUCCUUGGAAGCCCCCUUCCCUCCUGGCCUCCUCUUGCCCAUGAGGCCCUUCAUCCUGGAGAGAAGAUUCUGGAAUCUGGCUGGUGGGAGGGGCAUAAUUCUUCUCAGGCCUCAGGUUCCAUUUUAAUAAAACUAGGGGGUUGGAUCUGAUUUUAAAUUUUGAAAUGAUUUAUUGGCUCAUUUCCCCCAACUCUUCCUGAGCUCUUUCUUAGAGACAGGAUCUGCCUCUGUCGCCCAGGCUGGAGUGCAGUGGCGCAAUCUUGGC